Molecule: transfer RNA, 76 nt
Filed under: Cytophagales bacterium
Lineage: Bacteria; Pseudomonadati; Bacteroidota; Cytophagia; Cytophagales
Description: tRNA-Gln
Rfam family: tRNA
About the family: Transfer RNA (tRNA) molecules are approximately 80 nucleotides in length. Their secondary structure includes four short double-helical elements and three loops (D, anti-codon, and T loops).
Source: RNAcentral
UGUCCCAUGGUGUAACUGGUAACACGUCUGUUUUUGGUACAGAAGAGUCUAGGUUCGAUCCCUAGUGGGACAACAA